This 497-nucleotide ribosomal RNA is filed under the name uncultured bacterium. RNAcentral describes it as "partial 16S ribosomal RNA". It matches the Rfam family "Bacterial small subunit ribosomal RNA", at positions 28 to 507 of the family's 1533-position model. The record is from RNAcentral.
GAUGAACGCUGGCGGCGUGCCUAAUACAUGCAAGUCGAGCGAACAGACGAGGAGCUUGCUCCUAUGACGUUAGCGGCGGACGGGUGAGUAACACGUGGAUAACCUACCUAUAAGACUGGGAUAACUUCGGGAAACCGGAGCUAAUACCGGAUAAUAUAUUGAACCGCAUGGUUCAAUAGUGAAAGACGGUUUUGCUGUCACUUAUAGAUGGAUCCGCGCCGCAUUAGCUAGUUGGUAAGGUAACGGCUUACCAAGGCGACGAUGCGUAGCCGACCUGAGAGGGUGAUCGGCCACACUGGAACUGAGACACGGUCCAGACUCCUACGGGAGGCAGCAGUAGGGAAUCUUCCGCAAUGGGCGAAAGCCUGACGGAGCAACGCCGCGUGAGUGAUGAAGGUCUUCGGAUCGUAAAACUCUGUUAUUAGGGAAGAACAAAUGUGUAAGUAACUAUGCACGUCUUGACGGUACCUAAUCAGAAAGCCACGGCUAACUACGUG